RNAcentral lists this long non-coding RNA (574 nucleotides) under Monodelphis domestica (gray short-tailed opossum). RNAcentral's name for it is "lncRNA (ENSMODG00000047210.1)". Lineage: Eukaryota; Metazoa; Chordata; Mammalia; Didelphimorphia; Didelphidae. The record is from RNAcentral.
GUGAUUUGCCAUUUCCAUCUUCAGCUCAUUUAUAGAGGAGGAAAUGAAGGCAAACAGGGCUAAAUGACUUAUUAAGGGUCAUACCUCAUACUAGUACGUGUCUGAGGCCAGAUUUGAACUCAGGAAAAAGAAAUGAUGUUCUGUAAUGCAGUGCCAAAAAAAGUACAAUAUCUCUUCUUGUUUUAACAUUCUCUUGCCAGAUUCUUGAAUUUCUGAGCAAGAAGGGAAAUCAGAGCGCAUCUUGUUCCAUUUUACAUAGAAAAGAAUCUUCUUUAAAAUAUAGUAAACAAAUAUGGAUAUUGUCUCCAACUGCACAAUAAGAAGUAUGGAAUAACUGAAGAAACUUAUCCAAAUGACCUCACCCUUUCCAGUGGCUAUCUGGAUGAGACAUUAACAUGCCUGAUGUAAGCCUUGGUAAACACAAAGUUGUCAAUCUACUUCGGUCCAAUAGGAUGAAUUCAGAGCCUAAAGUAGAAUGACAGCAAUCCCUUCCAGGGAAUGAGAGUGCUCAGGAAGUAGACUUCAAUGUUUCCAACUCAGAUUCCUGGAAGAGUCAUUUUAAUAAUCAAAAUGU